CAGCCGCCGCGGUAAUACGUAGGGUGCGAGCGUUGUCCGGAAUUACUGGGCGUAAAGAGCUCGUAGGUGGUCUGUCGCGUCAUUUGUGAAAGCCCGGGGCUUAACUCCGGGUUGGCAGGUGAUACGGGCAUGACUGGAGUACUGUAGGGGAGACUGGAAUUCCUGGUGUAGCGGUGAAAUGCGUUGAGAUCGGAAAGAACACCAACGGCGAAAGCACUCUGCUGGGCCGACACUGACACUGAGAGACGAAAGCUAGGGGAGCAAAUGGGAUUAGAUACCCCUGUAGUCCCUGUCUCUUAUA
Molecule: ribosomal RNA, 301 nt
Filed under: uncultured bacterium
Lineage: Bacteria
Description: partial 16S ribosomal RNA
Rfam family: Bacterial small subunit ribosomal RNA
Source: RNAcentral